Long non-coding RNA from Diabrotica virgifera virgifera (western corn rootworm), 585 nucleotides. RefSeq lists it as uncharacterized. NCBI's taxonomy places the organism in Eukaryota, Metazoa, Arthropoda, Insecta, Coleoptera, Chrysomelidae. The record is from RefSeq and is a predicted model, not a curated record. The transcript has 3 exons.
UAGAGUUAAAUUAGAAAGGCGGUUUCCAAGAGAAAUAACAGUUUUUGUGUCAUUUUGAAAUAUGAGCAAUUCAUUAAAUAUCUUUUAAUAAAAUUAAAUAAAAUACAUACAGAUUACGUGUUUAACAUACAAAGUUGUCUUGUUUGUAGCAAUGUUUAUCUUUUACCUUGGUUUUUCGUUUUGCGCUUUAAUCAAGUCAUUACAUUUGAUGUUACAAAGUUAAUCAAAUUUAAAGGAUUAGAUCUUAUCGUGAUAAUAUAUAAGUAGAUGUUACUGCCAUAAAAAUGCCACACGUCCAUUUUCAAUAAAAAAUAUAUGUAAUAGUUUCCUGGAAAAAUCUAUUUUCAUUUUGUAACUUCAAAAAGCUGUAACUUUUUUAUGUGCACAUUUCUACUAAGUAAUGUCUUUUGACACUUGGCAGACAUUCGUGGCCUAAGAUGGUUGCUUAGGGUUUCGUUUAGGGUUUCACCAUGUAACCAGAGGUAUCUUCUAACAUCGGCGUUAAGCCUACUUAAUUUCAACAAACUAUAAUGUAGACUGAAUUUUAAUUAUAACCAUUGUUUGGUUCUGGGGCUAGUUGGCAAG